This 462-nucleotide ribosomal RNA is filed under the name uncultured Erwinia sp. RNAcentral describes it as "bacterial SSU rRNA". It matches the Rfam family "Bacterial small subunit ribosomal RNA", at positions 1 to 477 of the family's 1533-position model. Lineage: Bacteria; Pseudomonadati; Pseudomonadota; Gammaproteobacteria; Enterobacterales; Erwiniaceae. The record is from RNAcentral.
CGCCCUUAGAGUUUGAUCAUGGCUCAGAUUGAACGCUGGCGGCAGGCCUAACACAUGCAAGUCGAACGGUAAGAGAGCUUGCUCUUGACGAGUGGCGGACGGGUGAGUAAUGUCUGGGAAACUGCCCGAUGGAGGGGGAUAACUACUGGAAACGGUAGCUAAUACCGCAUAACGUCUUCGGACCAAAGUGGUUCGUCACACCAUCGGAUGUGCCCAGAUGGGAUUAGCUAGUAGGUGGGGUAAAGGCUCACCUAGGCGACGAUCUCUAGCUGGUCUGAGAGGAUGACCAGCCACACUGGAACUGAGACACGGUCCAGACUCCUACGGGAGGCAGCGGUGGGGAAUAUUGCACAAUGGGCGCAAGCCUGAUGCAGCCAUGCCGCGUGUAUGAAGAAGGCCUUAGGGUUGUAAAGUACUUUUGCGGGGGAGGAAGGCGAUGCGUAAUCGCAUCGAUUGACUUUA